CCUACGGGUGGCAGCAGUGGGGGAUAUUGCACAAUGGAGGAAACUCUGAUGCAGCGACGCCGCGUGAGGGAAGACGGUCUUCGGAUUGUAAACCUCUGUCUUUGGGGAAGAAAAUGACGGUACCCAAAGAGGAAGCUCCGGCUAACUACGUGCCAGCAGCCGCGGUAAUACGUAGGUGGCAAGCGUUGUCCGGAUUUACUGGGUGUAAAGGGCGUGCAGCCGGAGAGACAAGUCAGAUGUGAAAUCCACGGGCUCAACCCGUGAACUGCAUUUGAAACUGUUUCCCUUGAGUGUCGGAGAGGUAAUCGGAAUUCCUUGUGUAGCGGUGAAAUGCGUAGAUAUAAGGAAGAACACCAGUGGCGAAGGCGGAUUACUGGACGAUAACUGACGGUGAGGCGCGAAAGCGUGGGGAGCAAACAGGAUUAGAUACCCUUGUAGUC
This 440-nucleotide ribosomal RNA is filed under the name uncultured bacterium. Its description in RNAcentral is "partial 16S ribosomal RNA". It matches the Rfam family "Bacterial small subunit ribosomal RNA", at positions 338 to 795 of the family's 1533-position model. The record is from RNAcentral.